Molecule: long non-coding RNA, 3349 nt
Organism: Lethenteron reissneri (Far Eastern brook lamprey)
Lineage: Eukaryota; Metazoa; Chordata; Hyperoartia; Petromyzontiformes; Petromyzontidae
Source: RefSeq, a predicted model, not a curated record
UUAAUGUUGGUAGUAUCACAAAGGCUAUGGCACGUAUCUGGUUACAGGGAAUUUCCAUUCUCGGAGAGAGUAUAAAUAGCCUUCGAGAUUACGCAGACGGUCCAGACUCCUCAGCUGCAUUUGUUUAUCUUCCAAGCCUCGAGACAAUUCCAACACGAGAUGUCUACCAACGAAUGUCGGAGGCGGGCAUAUCCGGACGGUUCUGAGGAUGAAAAAACAUACAGUGAAAAAGAAUUCAAGGAGAUGGAGGAAAAAAAUCAAGAAUUGCAAAGUGAAAUUGAAAAAAUAAAAAAUAUUAAAGUGGGCAAAUUGGUCAAAGAACUUGAAGCUGAAGUCAAAGUCAUUGCAAGAAACAUCGUAGAAUCGGUGAAAGAUAAGGGAAUAAACAGCUUCAAAGCCGUUGGCAAUUUGAUUUCCCAAGCUAUUAAAGCUAUUUAUCAUGGAAAAGGGCUGUCGGUUCUCAUGACCCUUGCUGAGUUCACGGCCCGCAUAUUCUUCUAUUUUGUGUACAAUGUCAUCUUUUACAUUAUAGCUCUCGGGAUUUCCGCAUUGUUUUUGGUGGUCGCUACCCCCGUGGUGCUGUUGGGCAGUGCAUUGAAAAGCAUCGUGAGUGCCAUUUGGGAUCGAAUCAAAUCAAUGGGAAACGUCAAAUACUCGUUUGUGGAGACGUUUGUGAGCAAUGUGUGUGAAGGUCAGACCUUCGGCGAUGUUUCUCAAUCACUGAAAAUGAUAAAUUCAGCUGCUUAAGCAUGAGUUGUUGAACACGGAGUACCUGCAACAGCUACUACUGAACCUUAAUAUACAACGCUACAACGGUGAUUAAAUAUCCAUACAUUUUUUUAUUAACUACUAGACUUCAGAUGGCUUUGUUAAGAAAACUGCAGUACAAACUGCAGCAUAAAUAUCUUAUUCAGGCGCUAUUACAUGACUGACCAAGCAUGAGAGCACAGUACGGUAUUCCAAUAUCUGAUGCGCAAUGUUGCUGUAAUUUGAACGCUGGACUAAUUUGUGAGAUGUGCUUUUGACCAAGAAAUAUGUACUUUUAAAUAACCGUUCUGAAGAAUGCAUUUAUCCCUAAACACAAUGCCUGAAACAUCGCAGCAUGGUUACUAUCUAGCAGAGGUGGGACAAAGUCAUUGUUAUGCAAGUCCAAGUCGAGUCUGAAGUCAUCAAAUUCAUGACUCGAGUCUGACUCGAGUCCAAGUCACAUGACUCGAGUCCACACCUCAGAGGUGGGACAAAGUCAUUGUUAUGCAAGUCCAAGUCGAGUCUGAAGUCAUCAAAUUCAUGACUCGAGUCUGACUCGAGUCCAAGUCACAUGACUCGAGUCCACACCUCUGCUAUCUAGUUUCAUACACAUUUUCCAUUUCGUAACUGACAGACCCUUUUCGUCAUUGGCGAUCUUUAAGCUUCUGCCAUGGAAUCCCUACUUAUUGCUCACAUCCUAUUAACUGCUCAGUUUUGUUUCCCCUUUACUCUCGUACUUUGCAUUUUCCCUUUUUCAGACUCAACUGUAUCAUAUAACCUGCUGGCCCUGUUAGGAUAUGAUCGGCAAAAUGCCACCUUAUCAUCAGACUUCUCCAUCAGUCCCAUUCGUAGCCACUCUCGCUCAGCACAUCUUUAAUUCUUUUCUCACAAGCUCACCAUCUCCAUUCUUCUGUGACAUCACAUCUCCAACACGUUCGGUCUUUUUGCCUCAUCCUUCUGCCGUGUCCAUAUUUCACUGGAAUAUACGAAUUGCACUCCACACUGAAGCUUCCGAUAUCGUCAUCCUCUUCUGUGAAGUUUAUAACUUGUUACAGGCCCUCUUACCUGUUUACGAAAACGGUCUUGGGCAAUGCACCUCUUCUAUCCUCUUGUCCACUCCUUGCCAUCUUCAGCGACUGUGCUUCAAAGAUAAUACAAUUAUCACAAUUGCUCCAACAGUUCCCAUGAUUGUAAAUGCCUUUACUUUACAUAUUGCCAUGGUGUUUGUCUUUUUCACGUCGAUAUGCACGCCAUGUUUCCAUUAUGUGAUUGGGAUAAUAACAUAAUUAUGAUAGGUUCGUGAAAUAGUAAUUAAGUUUACUGUGCUAUAAUAGCUUUAAAAUACUCACAUACAUCUGUGAUUGAAAUACUGUACUGUACUAUGUAAAUGUUGCAGUCACAAAGAUAAACUAAAGUAAAUUUAAUGGCCGAUUAACAAUUGGUAUUCCAGUUUAAUACUUUUGGUAAUAUAAUUUAUAACAAUAACAUUACAGACGCAAUCGGAAAUCACUGACAUUUUAAAACAUUAAUUUAACCUUGAAAUUCAAUUAUCUGGAAAUUUAUAGUUUUAAUGCAUAGUUCUACAACAGUGGAGAUAACCCAUAUUGCUGAUAACACGAACUUUUAAAUGUUUUUGAUACAGUCUAAGUAACAUUAUCGAAGGUUAUUGAUCACGUCUACCACAACUACCACCAUUCCACAAUAUCGAAAACAACAUGAUUGAUCCUCCUGCCUCCGCUUAACACUUCCCACCUAACCUCUAAUUAAGAGCGCUGCUGUGCUGUGUAACCGAUGCAAGUUUAGUUUUUAGAAAGAAAUGUUUUAUUUGCGCAGCUACACUGUGCCAUUUCUUUAUUGUUUAUCCAUUUUAAUUUUCUGAGGGUUUAUUUCUUGGUAAGUGGUAUAUAGGAUUUGGUACUUAUAUAUUAGUGUAGUGACAUAAGAAGGGAGGGGCUGCUGUAGGCUCUGGGUUCCCAGGUGGGUCCAGACGCGUAAUCCCCUGGGCGCCAGGCGCUGGGUUCCCAGGGGGUCCAGACGCUUAAGCCUCUGGGCGCCGCCAACGGGGGGGGGGGGGGGCUGUGUGUGCUCUGUGGGAUGUCUGGUGGCGCACACGGCCCCACCCCUCGUUGGACCAGGCAUAAAAGGAGAGCUCCCUGGACGAUCAGGGCCCAGUUGUAACUCAAGACCCAACCCCUACGACCAGCAUCUGAAGACCCUGGGAUGCUGUGAGAGCCAGCGCUGGGACUCUGGGACUCCCGACUCUACGACCUUGUGAGGGCGAGUUCCGGAGCGUAGCCAGAGUAGAGUAUCUAGGCCAGGGGUCGGCAACCAAAAUAACAAGAAGAGCCAUUUCUUUCAAAUUCGGUACAAAAUUCAGUAUUUCAAGAGCCGCAAUGCAUCUGAGUACAUACGUACUCAUCGUCAAGAAGCAGCCCGUAAAGAGCCGCAUGCGGCUCCGGAGCCGUAGGUUGCCGACCCCUGAUCUAGGCUGUGUAGCUAGGCUGUGUACCUAGGCUGUAACAGAGUAUCAGGACUGUUGGAGAGUUGGACUGUUGGAGUGUUGUAUUGUAAUAAAGAAGUUACCUCUACAAGUGUCUCCGGA